This is a non-coding RNA of Cherax quadricarinatus, 1523 nucleotides long. The record is from RefSeq and is a predicted model, not a curated record. NCBI's taxonomy places the organism in Eukaryota, Metazoa, Arthropoda, Malacostraca, Decapoda, Parastacidae.
AUGCCCCUAUGGUUAACCUUCCUUUAAUAUUACAUUGCGGUCAUUUCCUUUAAUAGCUAAAUUGGAAAUGAACGUCCUUGUAUUAUUAAGAUUAAUUCUUAUUAACAAUUAUAAUUUAUGUAACAUGGCCAUGAUAAGUUUAAUUGGAGCUAUAGUAACCUGCCUGCCGCCCGGUGUGCCGGUGUGUAGUUAGCCGUGAUGUUCGAUGGUUAUACCCCCCCUUCCCCCCCCUUUAUGUUCAACUACUCUACUGAGUGUUGGUGAGUCACGUCACGUGACCCACUUUACCUGUAUGCUCAAGGUUGAGGGACGAGCAGUGAAGAAGUAGCAGCCAACGAGAACACUCCUGCUCGUCUCUGAUGAGCAGGAUCCAGAGAUCGAGAAUGGAGAAGCAGAUAUUCCUUCCUUUUUGAAUUCUUUUCUACAGACGCCCGAGGCCGAAACUACGACGCUAACAACCCCUACUGGAGACGACGGACAUGAACUUCCUGAUACUCGGAAACGCUUCGCUGCUACAACGACUCCAAUUCCAUCUCCAAGGACUAUAUGGGGAACAGAACUCCAUCAGGCUAAAGAAACGGAUCCAGGCCUCCUCUAGCAGACCGUCUAAUAGAUGACUUUACCACGACAGUGCUUCAGAAGAAAAGGUCCGAGUAGCUAUGGAACCCUACUUUUCCCAGGGGAAGUUCGGACUCUGUAAAGAGAGUCAAGCAGUUUCUGGACCAGUUCUAGCAAGUGGAUGACUAACCUUGGAAUGAUGUACCUCCAUCCCUAUACCAGCUGGUUGGUUUCUUCUACUCCAUCAGCAUCUUAAACGCCGAGAAUAUUUGCUUGUGGGCCGGGGUGUCAUGCCCCUAUGGUUAACCUUCCUUUAAUAUUACAUUGCGGUCAUUUCCUUUAAUAGCUAAAUUGGAAAUGAACGUCCUUGUAUUAUUAAGAUUAAUUCUUAUUAACAAUUAUAAUUUAUGUAACAUGGCCAUGAUAAGUUUAAUUGGAGCUAUAGUAACCUGCCUGCCGCCCGGUGUGCCGGUGUGUAGUUAGCCGUGAUGUUCGAUGGUUAUAUCCCCCCCCCCUUCCCCCCCCCCUUUAUGUUCAACUACUCUACUGAGUGUUGGUGAGUCACGUCACGUGACCCACUUUACCUGUAUGCUCAAGGUUGAGGGACGAGCAGUGAAGAAGUAGCAGCCAACGAGAACACUCCUGCUCGUCUCUGGUAACUGGCCAAGAUUUAUUAGCCGGCCUGGACAUAUUCUGUUUUAUUCUGACUGCUUCCAAUUGGGAAAAAAGACUUUAUACAUUAAAGUAUUCUCCAUUUAUAUAUAUGUUAUAUCUAGGAUCUCCUCCUAAUCGUCUCUUUUGAAAGCCUUAUGUAUAUGUUGGAUACUACAGAAGAAACAUGUAUUCUUAACUUAUAUACGAUAAUUCGUAUAUUAUAACUGGCUUUUGUUAUAUUAUGAAUAUACUUAAUUAAAAUUAGGCAUUCCGGAGGAUCAUUAUUAUUACCCUAACCUCUCUGACCAAAA